RNAcentral lists this transfer RNA (84 nucleotides) under Thermoplasmata archaeon. Its description in RNAcentral is "tRNA-Leu". It matches the Rfam family "tRNA". From Rfam's summary of the family: Transfer RNA (tRNA) molecules are approximately 80 nucleotides in length. Their secondary structure includes four short double-helical elements and three loops (D, anti-codon, and T loops). Further hydrogen bonds mediate the characteristic L-shaped molecular structure. tRNAs have two regions of fundamental functional importance: the anti-codon, which is responsible for specific mRNA codon recognition, and the 3' end, to which the tRNAs corresponding amino acid is attached (by aminoacyl-tRNA synthetases). tRNAs cope with the degeneracy of the genetic code in two manners: having more than one tRNA (with a specific anti-codon) for a particular amino acid; and 'wobble' base-pairing, i.e. permitting non-standard base-pairing at the 3rd anti-codon position. Lineage: Archaea; Methanobacteriati; Thermoplasmatota; Thermoplasmata. The record is from RNAcentral.
GCGGGGAUGCCUUAGCUUGGUCAAUAGGGCGGGGCUUAGGACCCUGUGGUCAGUCCUUCGAGGGUUCAAAUCCCUCUCCCCGCA